CCGCCUCGUGCGCUUUUCCUAUCUUCAUCAAGGCCGUAAAGCGCCUCUUGCCUUUUCCUGAAUACCGACGCCUGUCUAUAUGUGUGUAUAUGUUUGGGUGUGGAGCGGCGUUUCGCUUCUUCUCUGCUGUCAGAUCUUUAUCGAAGAAGGACUGAUACAAUGCCGUGUAACGUCGCAGCUGUAUGUGAGGGGAGUUGACAUCGUCGGGUCUCGUUUCCCACGUGCGCUUCCGUCCUGCUUGUACGUGUUCGUGCGUGUGUCACCGACAAGCGCACACUCGUACAGACGCAAUACCAACACGACUGUUUCUCGGGAUGCACGCCAUCCUUGCAUGUGAACGCGUUUGCGCACGUGCCGAUUGUGAACCGUUUCGUCCACCAUACUGGUGUGUGACACCGCUGUGGACAUUGAUUUUUUUUUUUUCGCGCGCUUGGUUUCCUUUACAGACACACCCUUCCGUGCGUAGUAUCUCGGGGCCCAGCGCACCCCCUCCCCCGCUCUUUGUGGGGGGAAGUCAAGCAGCCCCCUCCCCUUUCGAUCCCCUGCGAAGUGCCGAGCCACUUCUCGUGGUGAAAGGGCCAAGCACCUACGGCGAGGGGAAGUCAGUGCAAUUCAUCGCUACUGGCGCCGGCAGUCAGGUCCUGGAUGGCGUUGCGUUGGAGCGGCCCGCGGCAGCCAAUAUGCUCGGGCCAUUCAUGUGACAGGCGAGGUGGCAUCGUGAUUCCGACGCAUCCCACCCGGCCCUCACUGCCCACUGGUGCGGGGAGCCUGAGCCACGCCGAGGGUGAUGCACCAGGUGGCGACCGGCAUGAUUGGGGAGCGGCUCUGAGGCGACCCGCGGGGCGGCCUGGGUAGACUGUGAGGCAGCCGCCGUGCUUUGAUAACUGGGCCGGUGCGUUGCUGUAACACCUGUGUACACGGCUGCUCUGGACCACGCUGGUGGGGGCCUAUGCCAGGCUGGGGAUAGGGUGAACUUGAGCUCACUUUCCAUGGCAGAGUACGGACACGUUGAAAGGCAAACAUAGUGUUGAUGGUGUCAAGCUCGUUUGCGCCUGCUCCGUCUUGCCUUUCGUGUGUUGCCCUGCCACUUUUGCCAUCCAAGCCCCCUUCGCUUGACUCAGCUGCUCCUGUGAAGGGCGCGCACAGAUCCCCCUGAAACGUUUGCAAGCCGCCUGCGAGGUUGCAUGGGAUCUGUUUAAUUUGGUCUCACCGUGCCAAGGCGCCUUUUUCUCCCUUUUCUCCACCGCACACCGAUGCGGGCUUGCGGUAUUUUGUGAGCACAGCAGUAUCUAGGAAGCAGAUUGCUUAUCUUCUUUGGGAACUCUCUGUGUUUUGCACACUGCGCCUGAGUGGCGCCACCACAUGACCUCUCUCUCUUCCACUGUGGCUUGCCCGUGACGCUCUGCUCUCCUCGCUCUUGUUUCUAUAGUGUGCAAGGAUGAGGGAGGGGGCAGCGGGAUAGCAGCAGUGCAGGGGUAUGCUGGAUUCGAGAUGAGCGAUUUAGAGGUGUACGGUGGAGUAGCGAGGAAGCGGUGCAGACCGAGGAGGAUGAGAGAAAGGCGGAGGCCGCAGAUAGCGUGAUGGUAGGCGCCGACUCUCAUCCAAUAACAUAUGAAAGCGUUAGCUAGAAAAGGUGCUCCUUUGAAGGAGAGAACG
This 1656-nucleotide unclassified non-coding RNA is filed under the name Leishmania donovani. RNAcentral's name for it is "gene:unknown". Lineage: Eukaryota; Euglenozoa; Kinetoplastea; Trypanosomatida; Trypanosomatidae. The record is from RNAcentral.